CUCAGGAUGAACGCUGGCGGCGUGCCUAACACAUGCAAGUCGAGCGAUCUCUUCGGAAGAGAGCGGCGACGGGUGAGUAACGCGUGGGUAACCUGCCUCAUACACAUGGAUAACAUACCGAAAGGUAUGCUAAUACAAGAUGAUAUAAGAGAUUCGCAUGGAUUUCUUAUCAAAGCUCCGGCGGUAUGAGAUGGACCCGCGUCUGAUUAGCUAGUUGGUAAGGUAAUGGCUUACCAAGGCGACGAUCAGUAGCCGACCUGAGAGGGUGAUCGGCCACAUUGGAACUGAGACACGGUCCAAACUCCUACGGGAGGCAGCAGUGGGGAAUAUUGCACAAUGGGCGAAAGCCUGAUGCAGCAACGCCGCGUGAGCGAUGAAGGCCUUCGGGUCGUAAAGCUCUGUCCUCAAGGAAGAUAAUGACGGUACUUGAGGAGGAAGCCCCGGCUAACUACGUG
RNAcentral lists this ribosomal RNA (455 nucleotides) under uncultured bacterium. RNAcentral describes it as "bacterial SSU rRNA". It matches the Rfam family "Bacterial small subunit ribosomal RNA", at positions 23 to 507 of the family's 1533-position model. The record is from RNAcentral.